AGAACGAGCGCUGGCGGCAGGCCUCAAACAUGCAAGUCUAGGGGGUGUAGCAAUACAUCACCGGCGGACGGGUGCGUAACACGUGGGAAUAUACCUUUUGGUUCGGAACAACGCAGGGAAACUUGCGCUAAUACCGAAUGUGCCCUUACGGGGAAAGAUUUAUCGCCAAAGGAUUAGCCCGCGUAGGAUUAGCUAGUUGGUGAGGUAAUGGCUCACCAAGGCUCCGAUCCUUAGCUGUUCUGAGAGGAAGAUCAGCCACACUGGGACUGAGACACGGCCCAGACUCCUACGGGAGGCAGCAGUUGGGAAUCUGGACAAUGGGGGAAACCCUGAUCCAGCCAUGCCGCGUGAGUGAUGAAGGCCUUCGGGUUGUAAAACUCUUUCGACGGGACGAUAUGACGGUACCCGUAGAGAAGCUCCGGCUAACUUCGUGCCAGCAGCCGC
This 444-nucleotide ribosomal RNA is filed under the name uncultured bacterium. RNAcentral's name for it is "SSU rRNA". It matches the Rfam family "Bacterial small subunit ribosomal RNA", at positions 26 to 518 of the family's 1533-position model. The record is from RNAcentral.